Molecule: long non-coding RNA, 259 nt
Filed under: Phasianus colchicus (ring-necked pheasant)
Lineage: Eukaryota; Metazoa; Chordata; Aves; Galliformes; Phasianidae
Description: lncRNA (ENSPCLG00000011916.1)
Source: RNAcentral
ACUUGUCUGUGCUUGAACGUAAUAGAAAAAAGUGAUCUUGGAACAUCUAAUGAGAACAACAUGCUGGAGGACUGUUGUGAAGAAUCUGAAAAAUGGACUAUCCAGUUUUUUGAGUCUGCAUGGGAAGACUGUCGGCUCCGGAUUUGAUGACUUUUGUUUUUAAAUAGGAUUACUUCAAAAAGCACAAUUCUGUACAUUCUAGGGAUAAUUUAAACACCAGCAAUCCCUAUUGUGCAGCAAAUAAAGAGUAAUUAUCCAC